GAUGAACGCUGGCGGCGUGCCUAAUACAUGCAAGUCGAGCGAACAGACGAGGAGCUUGCUCCUCUGACGUUAGCGGCGGGCGGGUGAGUAACACGUGGAUAACCUACCUUUAAGACUGGGAUAACUUCGGGAAACCGGAGCUAAUACCGGAUAAUAUAUUGAACCGCAUGGUUCAAUAGUGAAAGACGGUUUUGCUGUCACUUAUAGAUGGAUCCGCGCCGCAUUAGCUAGUUGGUAAGGUAACGGCUUACCAAGGCAACGAUGCGUAGCCGACCUGAGAGGGUGAUCGGCCACACUGGAACUGAGACACGGUCCAGACUCCUACGGGAGGCAGCAGUAGGGAAUCUUCCGCAAUGGGCGAAAGCCUGACGGAGCAACGCCGCGUGAGUGAUGAAGGUCUUCGGAUCGUAAAACUCUGUUAUUAGGGAAGAACAAAUGUGUAAGUAACUAUGCACGUCUUGACGGUACCUAAUCAGAAAGCCACGGCUAACUACGUG
This 497-nucleotide ribosomal RNA is filed under the name uncultured bacterium. RNAcentral describes it as "partial 16S ribosomal RNA". It matches the Rfam family "Bacterial small subunit ribosomal RNA", at positions 28 to 507 of the family's 1533-position model. The record is from RNAcentral.